This 497-nucleotide ribosomal RNA is filed under the name uncultured bacterium. RNAcentral's name for it is "partial 16S ribosomal RNA". It matches the Rfam family "Bacterial small subunit ribosomal RNA", at positions 28 to 507 of the family's 1533-position model. The record is from RNAcentral.
GAUGAACGCUGGCGGCGUGCCUAAUACAUGCAAGUCGAGCGAACAGACGAGGAGCUUGCUCCUCUGACGUUAGCGGCGGACGGGUGAGUAACACGUGGAUAACCUACCUAUAAGACUGGGAUAACUUCGGGAAACCGGAGCUAAUACCGGAUAAUAUAUUGAACCGCAUGGUUCAAUAGUGAAAGACGGUUUUGCUGUCACUUAUAGAUGGAUCCGCGCCGCAUUAGCUAGUUGGUAAGGUAACGGCUUACCAAGGCAACGAUGCGUAGCCGACCUGAGAGGGUGAUCGGCCACACUGGAACUGAGACACGGUCCAGACUCCUAAGGGAGGCAGCAGUAGGGAAUCUUCCGCAAAGGGCGAAAGCUUGACGGAGCAACGCCGCGUGAGUGAUGAAGGUCUUCGGAUCGUAAAACUCUGUUAUUAGGGAAGAACAAAUGUGUAAGUAACUAUGCACGUCUUGACGGUACCUAAUCAGAAAGCCACGGCUAACUACGUG